UGUGGGAGCGAGCCUGCUCGCGAUGACCGCGGCACAUUCAGCAUUGCCGUUUCAGGCAGACCGCUAUCGCGAGCAGGCUCGUUCCCACA
This 89-nucleotide unclassified non-coding RNA is filed under the name Pseudomonas sp. A214. Lineage: Bacteria; Pseudomonadati; Pseudomonadota; Gammaproteobacteria; Pseudomonadales; Pseudomonadaceae. The record is from RNAcentral.